CGGGGUGUGGCUCAGUUGGUAGAGCGGGUGGUUUGGGACCAUCAGGCCGCAGGUUCGAAUCCUGUCACUCCGACCA
Molecule: transfer RNA, 76 nt
Filed under: Clostridia bacterium
Lineage: Bacteria; Bacillati; Bacillota; Clostridia
Description: tRNA-Pro
Rfam family: tRNA
About the family: Transfer RNA (tRNA) molecules are approximately 80 nucleotides in length. Their secondary structure includes four short double-helical elements and three loops (D, anti-codon, and T loops). Further hydrogen bonds mediate the characteristic L-shaped molecular structure. tRNAs have two regions of fundamental functional importance: the anti-codon, which is responsible for specific mRNA codon recognition, and the 3' end, to which the tRNAs corresponding amino acid is attached (by aminoacyl-tRNA synthetases). tRNAs cope with the degeneracy of the genetic code in two manners: having more than one tRNA (with a specific anti-codon) for a particular amino acid; and 'wobble' base-pairing, i.e. permitting non-standard base-pairing at the 3rd anti-codon position.
Source: RNAcentral